Salvelinus fontinalis (brook trout) is the source of this 3679-nucleotide long non-coding RNA. RefSeq lists it as uncharacterized. The transcript has 2 exons. The record is from RefSeq and is a predicted model, not a curated record. NCBI's taxonomy places the organism in Eukaryota, Metazoa, Chordata, Actinopteri, Salmoniformes, Salmonidae.
UUUGAUAUUUAAGUUUUUUAUUUUUAAUAAAUUAGCAAAGAAUUCUAAACCUGUUUAUGCUUUGUCAUCAUGGGGUAUUGUGUGUAGAUUAAUGAGAGAAAAACACAAUUGAAUCAGUUUUAGAAUAAGAAAAAGUCAAGGGGUCAGAAUUAGAUUACUUACCAAGCAAAGUCAGCCUCUGAAUGUCAAAGAAACUAAACAAUGAUAUCCCCAUAUCCAUCGGAAUCACGUCUUUCCUGGGUAUUUUACAGCUUGUUUAUAGCAUAAAGCAUCGUGGACCAAAGCGCUGUAAUAGACCUUUAUAUAUUUGGGUCAAUUUUAUUUUCUUCAAAAUCUUAAGCUAACAAGGGAUAGGACUGUGCUUUUUUCUAUUUCCUUAAAAUGUAGGCAUGGUGGGUGGAGGAAUUAACUGACAAAUCUUUGGAUAUAGCAGCCUAUAGCCUAAUUUCAUCUGUCAAACAGGUAGGCCUACCUCUUAUUUCUUAAAUAGGAAGAAAUAGGCUCCAACACAAAGCCCUCUUGUUGUUAGUGAAAUGAAGACUGAAGACUUUCAGCACCAUGAGCUGUCCAUAUCCGACUGAUUGUGACGCGGCAUCUGCUUCAAGUUUUAGCACCCCAAUGUAAGCUAUUACUAUUUAUUUUUUGGACUAGGCCUAAUCAAAAAAAAAUGUAGGGAAGAAACCUUUGACUCUUCUCCUGACCUGCCAUCCUAGACCUACACAGCACAGCAUUGAUUAAGCAGCACACGAAACCAUUUUGCCCAGCAUGAGCAGAGCAGGGCACAGGGUUGAAAUAUCCAUUGCAGUGUGUAAUGCAGCCUAGUUUGAUUUACACCGUCCCAGUAGCUAUUUUAGAAGUAUAACUUUGCACUGUGCUACUCCGAGCAUACACUUCAUAGCCUAUAGGCUAUGGAUAAUUUGAUUGAGACCACACUAAAUAGCCUAUAGGCACAAUUGAUAUUGCGUGCACAGUGGAGAAUCAGAGAUGAGGGGUGGCAUCGGGCACACAGCGAUAUAUAGCCUAAUAAGAAACUAAUUGUAAAACACUAAGAAAUAUUUACAUAACAUAAAUUACAAGAUCCUCCCCUGGACUAGAUUAAAUUGAAUCUGAUUGAAAUUGAAAAAGCAUGACCCUCCCUCAUUUUCUUCCAGGUAACCAUUCUGUAAUUGUCAAUGGCAUGCUCCUUAAGAGUACAUCUUGGGCUAAGUAAGGCUGUAUAUUGCAAUUGAAGUAUGCCCCCAAUGCAAUUAUGAAGUCCAAUACAUCCACAGUGCGAUUUCAGAUGUUUUACUUUGUAUCAAAUAUUUUGUUUAAUUUAUAUAACGUUCCAACUUUGUUUAGCAUUAUCUAGUCCAAUUGUGGCAUCUUCCAUUUGUAUCCGUUUUCGCAGUUUUAAUGGAGAACUUUUAUUUUGAAAUCAGCCCGCAGAGUCCACUAUUGCUGCUCACAACACACGCGUCUUUGUCCCAGUAGCCCAGUAUAACAUCUUACCCGCUCGGAACACAGGGGUGUGUUCGGAAAAACAAAGAAAUUAACCCAUAUUAUUCUCGUUCUAAUAGACUAUAGUUUCGGCUAUGUAUGAAUGUCACAGUUACUAAACUGAUAAAAACCAAAGAUGUUUGUAAUAAUAAAGAAAUGGGGUGGUAGUCUACACGGCCUUACCUUGCAUAGUUGACAGACAAAGAUUCGCGCGAUGUGAUGUUUUCAUUUGUAGCCAUCCAUUCCAAAUAGUUCCUUUGUAGUUGAUCGCCCUUGAUCAAAUCAAUUAUGUAUGUAAGCUAUGUCUUGGAAAUUCACUAUUGUCACCUAUUUUCAAACCAGGAACUUUCUCUGACGGAAGGGCUAAAGAAAAAGUAACAACAUAUAAGAAUAUUUAUGCUUGAUCCGAAAAUGUGAACGGAAGCUUCGUAUGGAGGGUGUGGCGCAUUUGCGGGGCCUGGAUUCAUGCAGAGGGAAAAUCAAGCGCUGUACCGCAUGGCCAUGUGCCAGACAUGUACACUAGCAAGCGGUAAAUUGCCGUCUUCCGCUUAGGCAGCCCAUUGUGACUCGCUUGUGGGCGUGCUGGCAGCAAGUUCCGAGGGUGCGUCAAGAAUUCAGCAUAGCAAGUUUGUAAGAAGGUCUGGUUAUUAAAUGUGUAAAUAGUUCAAUAGUAAUAGGCUCUGGUGACAAACUUUGCUGCCUUGUUUCCAAUUGUCCACAUGGCUGGGAGAACCUAUUCAAAUACCUUGUAACUGUAGAUUCUUUCAAACCGAUUGCCUACAGUUACCGUGUAGGGCACUGCAAGGUUGAGUGACCAGGGCCAUCCUCCUGGAGGAAUUCAGGUGUGUGUGGAGGCUACCUGUGUCCUGCAUAACUUCAUGAGGAUGGACACGAGGACCAGGAUGGGAUCUGCAGCUCACCGCCGUGUCCCAGAGGAGAAGUCUGGCGCUCUGCAGGAUGGUUCAAGGAUAGACUACACUAUGCACAACCAAAGGCUCUUUAUAGAGCCAUCCACAUUGCAAUAAGAGUAUUCUUCCAUUUACUUAGCUAUGUCAACUGCUGUUAUUCAAUUCCUAGUUUCUCUCCCUUUGAUUUCUACUUCUCAGCUGAGGGUGCUGCUUAGGUAAGGGUGUGACGUCUGUACAAAAACAAAACAGGCUAUUAUAAGUCACCCAUAUUGAACAAAAUUAGAACAAUUAGACACCCACAUCUACACACUCAUGUAUCAAUCUGAUUGAUGGGUUGUGUUGUGCAGUAAGCAGGCUCUGGUGUAUAACUGGCUGCUUCAAAGAAUAGGCAAGAGUGCCAACCAUGGAGAAUAGUAAGACACUUCAUUAUUUCUAUAACUACACUAAAUUAUUGAUCCUUGUGUGUCCGUUCAUGGUUUUCAGCAUAAAGUACUCUGCAGCCACUUUUAGUGUGGACACCAGGUGAGGGCCACACACACAGAUUCCUGUUGAACACUGUCUCUUUAACUACCUUAUUUUCUCAAUAAGUCUUCUUCACUUCAUCCCUCUCCCCUUCUCUGUAAAGCCUCUAGGUUAUAUCAGCUGUGUCUGUGAAUCCCUCCCGCAUCUGAACUGGCUACAUAGAGGGCACAGCAUGAUCAGAGGUCACUUGGUCAGGGCAACAGGAAGUAUUAUUAAAGAGAUGCUUUACAUUGAAAUGGAGAUGUAGUAGUCCCAGAGUUAAUGAUCCAAGGUCAGUUUUGCAUUUCAUCUCCUGAUGAUUAUGACUGAGUGUUAGAAUAAAAAACAAACAAGGCUUAAGCAUGCUCUCUCUCCAUCUCUUGUCUGCAGAUAUGUUUUGCUGUGAAAGAGGAUGCCAACCCACAGUCCCGUCAUCGCCACCUCACCCGCUCUUAAGAUGACCAUUCGUGCCGACUGGGAGUCCAAGGCUGGUUAGGAGACACCACUAGAGACACUUAAUGUAAUUGUGAUGAACUGAGAUAAUAUUAAGGUAGCACUGGGAUUCAUUAAUCAUAUGCUGCCUUCCCUGCUCCUAUGGUCCUUACCUCUUUCCCUUUCUUUUACACCUCUCUCCCCACCUUUCUUCCUCUGUUUUUAUAAUGCACAACAGAUGUGCAUUGAAGUACAGAUUGAACUUGUAUUUCUAAUAAUACAAUUAUAAUAUUUAUAAUGCAUGUAUUUAUAACACUUGGAUAAUUAACUUCUUUCAAUAAAGCAUUUCACAUUCUCUA